This 465-nucleotide ribosomal RNA is filed under the name Vreelandella stevensii. RNAcentral's name for it is "partial 16S ribosomal RNA". It matches the Rfam family "Bacterial small subunit ribosomal RNA", at positions 338 to 795 of the family's 1533-position model. The record is from RNAcentral. Lineage: Bacteria; Pseudomonadati; Pseudomonadota; Gammaproteobacteria; Oceanospirillales; Halomonadaceae.
CCUACGGGAGGCUGCAGUGGGGAAUAUUGGACAAUGGGGGGAACCCUGAUCCAGCCAUGCCGCGUGUGUGAAGAAGGCCCUCGGGUUGUAAAGCACUUUCAGUGAGGAAGAACGCCUGGUGGUUAAUACCCAUCAGGAAAGACAUCACUCACAUAAGAAGCACCGGCUAACUCCGUGCCAGCAGCCGCGGUAAUACGGAGGGUGCGAGCGUUAAUCGGAAUUACUGGGCGUAAAGCGCGCGUAGGUGGCUUGAUAAGCCGGUUGUGAAAGCCCCGGGCUCAACCUGGGAACGGCAUCCGGAACUGUCAAGCUAGAGUGCAGGAGAGGAAGGUAGAAUUCCCGGUGUAGCGGUGAAAUGCGUAGAGAUCGGGAGGAAUACCAGUGGCGAAGGCGGCCUUCUGGACUGACACUGACACUGAGGUGCGAAAGCGUGGGUAGCAAACAGGAUUAGAUACCCUAGUAGUC